GGGACACCAAUGUUUGGAAGGAAGGUGGAUGAGCGGCUGAUCUGGCUGAGACUAUCAGCAACAAUCUUGGAGGGUGACUUUUGUGCUUCUCCUUCUUCUAGCUCUCUUUCCUUCUCUGCAACCAUUUGCUCCUACAUAAAAUGAAUGUACUUAGUAACAAGGCCAUACAAAAGUGUUGAACCAGGCAUUUACUUGAGUGUAGUACAUGUAACUUACAUA
This is a long non-coding RNA of Zea mays, 219 nucleotides long. RefSeq lists it as uncharacterized. NCBI's taxonomy places the organism in Eukaryota, Viridiplantae, Streptophyta, Magnoliopsida, Poales, Poaceae. The record is from RefSeq and is a predicted model, not a curated record. The transcript has 2 exons.